Molecule: ribosomal RNA, 497 nt
Filed under: uncultured bacterium
Lineage: Bacteria
Description: partial 16S ribosomal RNA
Rfam family: Bacterial small subunit ribosomal RNA
Source: RNAcentral
GAUGAACGCUGGCGGCGUGCCUAAUACAUGCAAGUCGAACGAACAGAUGAGGAGCUUGCUCCUCUGACGUUAGCGGCGGACGGGUGAGUAACACGUGGAUAACCUACCUAUAAGACUGAGAUCACUUCGGGAAACCGGCGCUAAUACCGGAUAAUAUAUUGAACCGCAUGGUUCAAUAGUGAAAUACGGUUUUGCGGUCACUACUAGAUGUAUCCGGGCGGCCUGAGCUGGUUGGUCAGGUAACGGCUUACCAGGGCAACGCUGCGUAACCGAACUGAGAGGGUGAUAGCCCACACUGGAACGUAGACACGGUCCAGACUCCUACGGGAGGCAGCAGUAGGGAAUCUUACGCAAUGGGGGAAAGUCUGACGGAGCAACGCGGAGUGAGUGAUGAAGGUCUUCGGAUCGUAAAACUCUGUUAUGAGGGAAGAACAAAUGUGUAAGUAACCAUGCACGUCUUGACGGUACCUAAUAAGAAAGCCCCGGCUAACUACGUG